CACUGACAUUAGAUACCCGCGUAGUCCAGGGUGUAAACGCUGCAGACUCGGUGUUGGAGGCCCUUUGGGGCAUUCAGUGCCGGAGAGAAGUUGUUAAGUCUGCUACUUGGGGAGUACGUCCGCAAGGAUGAAACUUAAAGGAAUUGGCGGGGAGCACCACAACAGGUGGAGCCUGCGGUUUAAUUGGAUUCAACACCGUAAAACUCACCAGGGAAGACUGUUACAUGAAAGCCGAGAUGAAGACUCUGCUAGAUUUUCAG
RNAcentral lists this ribosomal RNA (260 nucleotides) under uncultured archaeon. RNAcentral describes it as "partial 16S ribosomal RNA". It matches the Rfam family "Archaeal small subunit ribosomal RNA", at positions 720 to 982 of the family's 1478-position model. The record is from RNAcentral.